GGGGUAGANUCCACGUGUAGCAGUGAAAUGCGUAGAGAUGUGAAGAAUACCAUUGCGAAGGCCAGCCCNNGGGAUAAUACUGACGCUCAUGCACGAAGCGUGGGGAGCAAACAGGAUUAGAUACCUGGUAGUCCACGCCUAAACGAUGCUGACUAGUUGUUCGGGAAUUUAUUCUGAGUAACGUAGCUAACGCGUGAAGUCAGCCGCUGGGGAGUACGGUCGCAAGAUUAAAACUCAAAGGAAUUGACGGGGACCCGCACAAGCGGUGGAUGAUGUGGAUUAAUUCGAUGCAACGCGAAAAACCUUACCUACCCUUGACAUGCCACUAACGAAGUAGAGAUACAUUAGGUGCCCGUAAGAGAAAAGUGGACACAGGUGCUGCAUGGCUGUCGUCAGCUCGUGUCGUGAGAUGUUGGGUUAAGUCCCGCAACGAGCGCAACCCUUGUCUUUAGUUGCUACGCAAGAGCACUCUAAAGAGACUGCCGGUGACAAACCGGAGGAAGGUGGGGAUGACGUCAAGUCCUCAUGGCCCUUAUGGGUAGGGCUUCACACGUCAUACAAUGGUGCAUACAGAGGGUUGCCAACCCGCGAGGGGGAGCUAAUCUCAGAAAAUGCAUCGUAGUCCGGAUCGUAGUCUGCAACUCGACUACGUGAAGCUGGAAUCGCUAGUAAUCGCGGAUCAGAAUGUCGCGGUGAAUACGUUCCCGGGUCUUGUACACACCGCCCGUCACACCAUGGGAGUGGGUUUUGCCAGAAGCCGUUAGCCUAACCGCAAGGAGGGCGACGACCACGGCAGGGUUCAUGACUGGGGUGAAGUCGUAACAAGGUAGCCGUAUCGGAAGGUGCGGCUGGAUCACCUCCUUUCU
RNAcentral lists this ribosomal RNA (866 nucleotides) under uncultured Polynucleobacter sp. RNAcentral's name for it is "bacterial SSU rRNA". It matches the Rfam family "Bacterial small subunit ribosomal RNA", at positions 658 to 1533 of the family's 1533-position model. The record is from RNAcentral. Lineage: Bacteria; Pseudomonadati; Pseudomonadota; Betaproteobacteria; Burkholderiales; Burkholderiaceae.